This 257-nucleotide ribosomal RNA is filed under the name uncultured prokaryote. RNAcentral's name for it is "partial 16S ribosomal RNA". It matches the Rfam family "Bacterial small subunit ribosomal RNA", at positions 524 to 780 of the family's 1533-position model. The record is from RNAcentral.
UACGGAGGAUGCAAGCGUUAUCCGGAUUCAUUGGGUUUAAAGGGUGCGUAGGUGGGUUUGUAAGUCAGUGGUGAAAUAUUGUCGCUUAACGAUAAGGUUGCCAUUGAUACUGCAGGUCUUGAGUUUGGUUGAGGUAGGCGGAAUGUGCAGUGUAGCGGUGAAAUGCAUAGAGAUUGCACAGAACUCCGAUUGCGAAGGCAGCUUACUAAGCCAAAACUGACGCUGAGGCACGAAAGCGUGGGGAUCGAACAGGAUUA